GAAUUUCGAACAUAGCAUUUACUCUGUCAAAAAUAUUGUUUUGUUUUGGACAGAUGAUUUUUGCAGAGAAGAAGAUUCCGAGCGGUGCAAAAAGUAGUGUUCUUGUGAAUGUUUUGCCGUUUUCUGCAGACUGCUGAAGACAUAACAGCCCGGAAAAGCUCAAACGGGGGAAAGUGAAGCCAUCCUGUGCAACCUGCAAGGGCUAAACACGGUUUUUCACAACUAUGGAUGUGUCUGCAGUGUGGUGGCAACCGAUCCCUCUGCAACGGCACCCAUCGAAUCAGCAAAUGAUCGUGAUAUCCAGCGGAAUCGCCACAACUUAAGUGCACCAAACGGCAACGUCGAUCGGAGUCCCUGCGGGUCGAUACAACAAGCAAUCGCACCAGCAAGAUAAUUUUGCUGCCAUGCCACAGGCGACCGGAUCGGUAGUCAGUGAUGGAACCGCGGGACAACGCAAUGGAACUGCAGUUACCGCCACCAACGCUGAUGCGAUAAGCAAACAGGCAAGCAAGCAGAUUGCAAAAUAGUUUCUCAAACAGAGAGACGGUAGGUUUGAGAAUGACAUGGCCAUCUCUGGUCGUUGAAAAGAUGAAUAAACUAAAACUACGAAACUAAAAA
RNAcentral lists this long non-coding RNA (618 nucleotides) under Aedes aegypti (yellow fever mosquito). RNAcentral's name for it is "lncRNA AAEL022106". Lineage: Eukaryota; Metazoa; Arthropoda; Insecta; Diptera; Culicidae. The record is from RNAcentral.